UACGUAGGGGGCGAGCGUUGUCCGGAUUUAUUGGGCGUAAAGAGCGUGUAGGCGGCCAGGUAGGUCUGCUGUGAAAACUCGAGGCUCAACCUCGAGACGUCGGCGGAAACCAUCUGGCUAGAGUCCGGAAGAGGGGAGCAGAAUUCCCAGUGUAGCGGUGAAAUGCGUAGAUAUUGGGAGGAAUACCGGUGGCGAAGGCGGCUCCCUGGACCGGUACUGACGCUGAGGCGCGAAAGCGUGGGUAGCAAACAGG
RNAcentral lists this ribosomal RNA (253 nucleotides) under uncultured bacterium. Its description in RNAcentral is "partial 16S ribosomal RNA". It matches the Rfam family "Bacterial small subunit ribosomal RNA", at positions 524 to 776 of the family's 1533-position model. The record is from RNAcentral.